RNAcentral lists this ribosomal RNA (253 nucleotides) under uncultured bacterium. RNAcentral describes it as "partial 16S ribosomal RNA". It matches the Rfam family "Bacterial small subunit ribosomal RNA", at positions 524 to 776 of the family's 1533-position model. The record is from RNAcentral.
UACGUAGGGCGCAAGCGUUGUCCGGAAUUAUUGGGCGUAAAGAGCUCGUAGGCGGCUUGUCACGUCGGGUGUGAAAGCCCGGGGCUUAACCCCGGGUCUGCAUUCGAUACGGGCUAGCUAGAGUGUGGUAGGGGAGAUCGGAAUUCCUGGUGUAGCGGUGAAAUGCGCAGAUAUCAGGAGGAACACCGGUGGCGAAGGCGGAUCUCUGGGCCAUUACUGACGCUGAGGAGCGAAAGCGUGGGGAGCGAUCAGG